RNAcentral lists this ribosomal RNA (500 nucleotides) under uncultured bacterium. Its description in RNAcentral is "partial 16S ribosomal RNA". It matches the Rfam family "Bacterial small subunit ribosomal RNA", at positions 28 to 523 of the family's 1533-position model. The record is from RNAcentral.
GAUGAACGCUGGCGGCAUGCCUUACACAUGCAAGUCGAACGGCAGCACGGGAGCAAUCCUGGUGGCGAGUGGCGAACGGGUGAGUAAUAUAUCGGAACGUGCCCAGUCGGGGGGGAUAACGCAGCGAAAGCUGUGCUAAUACCGCAUACGAUCUAAGGAUGAAAGCGGGGGAUCGCAAGACCUCGCGCGAUUGGAGCGGCCGAUAUCAGAUUAGCUAGUUGGUGGGGUAAAGGCCCACCAAGGCGACGAUCUGUAGCUGGUCUGAGAGGACGACCAGCCACACUGGAACUGAGACACGGUCCAGACUCCUACGGGAGGCAGCAGUGGGGAAUUUUGGACAAUGGGCGCAAGCCUGAUCCAGCAAUGCCGCGUGCAGGAUGAAGGCCUUCGGGUUGUAAACUGCUUUUGUACGGAACGAAACGGCCCUUUCUAAUACGGGGGGCUAAUGACGGUACCGUAAGAAUAAGCACCGGCUAACUACGUGCCAGCCGCCGCAGUAA